GGCAAAAACUCAAAAUUUUGUCUAAAAUCAAUGGAGCUAUCAACAAAUAGAUUCUAAUGCAAAACCAUCACAAACAAGCACUAUCAGAGAUUUAGUGUCAAAAUGAUAAGAAAAGAACUAUAGAAUUCAGUUCUUUUACAGCACAAAAUCUUAUCAAAGCUCUUGUCUUGCAUGAUAUCCACAGAGCAUUCUGCUUCAAACAGUAUACAGAAGGAAAGACAUAUCAAUAAUACAAUACAAAAACAAGCAUACAUUAUGAUUUCAAGUUUCAAAGAUUUUCUCAGAAACAAUCUGCAGACAUAGGAGCUGGAAAUCUGAGGGAAAGGCAGAUCGAUGAGGCAUCAAAGAAAGAAACCAAAAUCAAAAUUGACAUAUUAGGAAUGAAUCCAUAAUUCAGGUAAAAUCGGAUAAUUUUAUUAUGUUAUGGUUUCAGUCU
RNAcentral lists this unclassified non-coding RNA (436 nucleotides) under Hevea brasiliensis (rubber tree). The record is from RNAcentral. Lineage: Eukaryota; Viridiplantae; Streptophyta; Magnoliopsida; Malpighiales; Euphorbiaceae.